This 242-nucleotide ribosomal RNA is filed under the name uncultured Sphaerochaeta sp. RNAcentral's name for it is "partial 16S ribosomal RNA". It matches the Rfam family "Bacterial small subunit ribosomal RNA", at positions 796 to 1041 of the family's 1533-position model. The record is from RNAcentral. Lineage: Bacteria; Pseudomonadati; Spirochaetota; Spirochaetia; Spirochaetales; Sphaerochaetaceae.
CACGCAGUAAACGAUGUACACUAGGUGGUGGGUGGUAGCACUCAGUACCGAAGCAAACGCAUUAAGUGUACCGCCUGGGGAGUAUGCUCGCAAGGGUGAAACUCAAAGGAAUUGACGGGGGCCCGCACAAGCGGUGGAGCAUGUGGUUUAAUUCGAUGAUACGCGAGAAACCUUACCAGGGCUUGACAUACACAGGAAUGUGCAAGAGAUUGCACAGCUUUUCGGAGUCUGUGUACAGGUGC